GGCCCGGUGGCGCAUGGUCCGCGCCUGUGAACCGUAAGUGUGGCUGGUUAUUUAUAUAAGCAGGAUACGCUCGUUCGAUUCGAGCCCGGGCCA
This is a non-coding RNA of Mycena galericulata, 93 nucleotides long. The record is from the annotation of a GenBank genome assembly. NCBI's taxonomy places the organism in Eukaryota, Fungi, Basidiomycota, Agaricomycetes, Agaricales, Mycenaceae.